GUCCUUUAGAAUAGAAUUUAAGGUCUGACCUGCCCACUGAAAAUUUUUAAAGGCCGCAGUAAUUUGACUGUGCAAAGGUAGCAUAAUCAUUAGUUUUUUAAUUAAAAGCUUGUAUGAAGGGUUGGACGAGAUAAAGACUGUCUCUGAAUAAAUAGUAGAAUUUAAUUUUUAAGUUAAAAAGCUUAAAUAUUAUUAAAAGACGAGAAGACCCUAUAGAUCUUUAUAGUUAAUAAUUAAUUUUAUUUAUGAUUUUUUUAUUUAUUAGUAGUUAAACUAUUUUAUUGGGGUAAUAGAAAGAUUUAAAUAAUUCUUUUUUAAGGAAAACAAUAAUAAUUGAAAAUUUGAUCCAUUAUUAGUGAUUAUAAGAUUAAGUUACCUUAGGGAUAACAGCGUAAUUUUUUUAAAGAGUUCAUAUCGAUAAAAAAGUUUGCGACCUCGAUGUUGGAUUAAAACUUAUCUUAGGUGCAGAAUUUUAAGAUUUUGGUCUGUUCGACCAUUAAAGUUUU
Molecule: ribosomal RNA, 506 nt
Filed under: Laccornellus copelatoides
Lineage: Eukaryota; Metazoa; Arthropoda; Insecta; Coleoptera; Dytiscidae
Description: partial 16S ribosomal RNA
Rfam family: Bacterial large subunit ribosomal RNA
Source: RNAcentral